Molecule: ribosomal RNA, 253 nt
Filed under: uncultured bacterium
Lineage: Bacteria
Description: partial 16S ribosomal RNA
Rfam family: Bacterial small subunit ribosomal RNA
Source: RNAcentral
UACGAAGGGGGCUAGCGUUGUUCGGAAUUACUGGGCGUAAAGCGCACGUAGGCGGGAUGAUAAGUUAGGGGUGAAAGCCCAAGGCUCAACCUUGGAAUUGCCUUUGAUACUGUCAUUCUUGAGUCCGGGAGAGGUGAGUGGAACUCCGAGUGUAGAGGUGAAAUUCGUAGAUAUUCGGAAGAACACCAGUGGCGAAGGCGGCUCACUGGCCCGGUGCUGACGCUGAGGUGCGAAAGCGUGGGGAGCAAACAGG